UAAUUGCUUGCUUUUGACAUGAUGAUUUGGU
This 31-nucleotide non-coding RNA is filed under the name Rattus norvegicus (Norway rat). Lineage: Eukaryota; Metazoa; Chordata; Mammalia; Rodentia; Muridae. The record is from RNAcentral.